RNAcentral lists this ribosomal RNA (253 nucleotides) under uncultured bacterium. RNAcentral's name for it is "partial 16S ribosomal RNA". It matches the Rfam family "Bacterial small subunit ribosomal RNA", at positions 524 to 776 of the family's 1533-position model. The record is from RNAcentral.
UACAGAGGGGGCAAGCGUUGUUCGGAAUUACUGGGCGUAAAGGGCGCGUAGGCGGCCUGUUAAGUCGAACGUGAAAUCCCUGGGCUCAACCCAGGAACUGCGUCCGAUACUGGCUGGCUUGAAUCCGGGAGAGGGAUGUGGAAUUCCAGGUGUAGCGGUGAAAUGCGUAGAUAUCUGGAGGAACACCGGUGGCGAAGGCGACAUCCUGGACCGGUAUUGACGCUGAGGCGCGAAAGCCAGGGGAGCAAACGGG